GAGUUUGAUUCUGGCUCAGAACGAACGCUGGCGGCAGGCCUAACACAUGCAAGUCGAACGCCCCUUCGGGGGAGUGGCGCACGGGUGAGUAACGCGUGGGAACCUGGCUCUUGGUACGGAACAACCGCGGGAAACUGCGGCUAAUACCGUAUACGCCCUUUGGGGGAAAGAUUUAUCGCCGAGAGAUGGGCCCGCGUCUGAUUAGCUGGUUGGUGAGGUAACGGCUCACCAAGGCAUCGAUCAGUAGCUGGUCUGAGAGGAUGAUCAGCCACACUGGGACUGAGACACGGCCCAGACUCCUACGGGAGGCAGCAGUGGGGAAUAUUGGACAAUGGGCGCAAGCCUGAUCCAGCCAUGCCGCGUGAGUGAAGAAGGCCCUAGGGUUGUAAAGCUCUUUCAGUGGUGACGAUGAUGACGGUAGCCACAGAAGAAGCCCCGGCUAACUCCGUGCCAGCAGCCGCGGUAAUACGGAGGGGGCAAGCGUUGUUCGGAAUUACUGGGCGUAAAGGGCGCGUAGGCGGUCUGUUGCGUCAGGUGUGAAAGCCCCGGGCUCAACCUGGGAGGUGCACUUGAUACGGGCGGACUGGAAUCCGGGAGAGGAUGGUGGAAUUCCCAGUGUAGAGGUGAAAUUCGUAGAUA
RNAcentral lists this ribosomal RNA (639 nucleotides) under uncultured Rhodospirillaceae bacterium. RNAcentral describes it as "bacterial SSU rRNA". It matches the Rfam family "Bacterial small subunit ribosomal RNA", at positions 9 to 696 of the family's 1533-position model. Lineage: Bacteria; Pseudomonadati; Pseudomonadota; Alphaproteobacteria; Rhodospirillales; Rhodospirillaceae. The record is from RNAcentral.